UACAGAGGUCUCAAGCGUUGUUCGGAUUCAUUGGGCGUAAAGGGUGCGUAGGUGGCGCCGGAAGGCGGGUGUGAAAUUUCGGAGCUUAACUCCGAAACUGCAUUCGAUACUGCGGUGCUUGAGGACUGGAGAGGAGACUGGAAUUCAUGGUGUAGCAGUGAAAUGCGUAGAGAUCAUGAGGAAGACCAGUGGCGAAGGCGGGUCUCUGGACAGUUCCUGACACUGAGGCACGAAGGCCAGGGGAGCAAACGGG
RNAcentral lists this ribosomal RNA (253 nucleotides) under uncultured bacterium. RNAcentral's name for it is "partial 16S ribosomal RNA". It matches the Rfam family "Bacterial small subunit ribosomal RNA", at positions 524 to 776 of the family's 1533-position model. The record is from RNAcentral.